RNAcentral lists this small RNA (690 nucleotides) under Pan troglodytes (chimpanzee). RNAcentral describes it as "processed transcript". The record is from RNAcentral. Lineage: Eukaryota; Metazoa; Chordata; Mammalia; Primates; Hominidae.
GGAUGUGGCUCAGCUCUGCAGGAAGCCGCGGCGUGUAAGGCGAGGGCUUUCCUUGUUCCUUGCGCUCGCACUUCGCCUCCCGUAGGAUCCUCUACUUUGUUUCAGACGGGGAAGCUGCAGGCGCCCAGACGCAGUGAUUCGCCCAAGGCCGCUCAUUCAGGAGAUAGUGUCUGCCUUCUGGAGAGCUGACCAAACACUAAGGAUGCUGAAGUUCCGAACAGUCCAUGGGGGCCUGAGGCUCCUGGGAAUCCGCCGAACCUCCACCGCCCCCGCUGCCUCCCCAAAUGUCCGGCGCCUGGAGUAUAAGCCCAUCAAGAAAGUCAUGGUGGCCAACAGAGGUGAGAUUGCCAUCCGUGUGUUCCGGGCCUGCACGGAGCUGGGCAUCCGCACCGUAGCCAUCUACUCUGAGCAGGACACGGGCCAGAUGCACCGGCAGAAAGCAGAUGAAGCCUAUCUCAUCGGCCGCGGCCUGGCCCCCGUGCAGGCCUACCUGCACAUCCCAGACAUCAUCAAGGUGGCCAAGGAGAACAACGUAGAUGCAGUACACCCUGGCUACGGGUUCCUCUCUGAGCGAGCGGACUUCGCCCAGGCCUGCCAGGAUGCAGGGGUCCGGUUUAUUGGGCCAAGCCCAGAAGUGGUCCGCAAGAUGGGAGACAAGGUGGAGGCCCGGGCCAUCGCCAUUGCUGCGGG